AUGUCUUAUCUCACCGAUGAUUAGGAGUCUGAGGAGGCUUAUGACUCCUAUACUUAUCUGGGAGACUAUGGAGAUCCAAAAGCAGGACCUUGCUUAUGAACAUCAGUAUGAAUAGCAAACCUAUCAGGUGAUGCCUGAAGUGAUCAAAAACUCCAUCCAGUAUUUUCACAAAACUGUCUCGGGUUUGACUGACCAGAAAGUGUAUGAGCUACAGGCCAGUUGUGUCUCCAGUGAUGUCAUUGACCAGGUGUAUAGGAUCCAGGACAUCUAUGAUAACAGCUGGACCAAGCUGACUGAAAGAUUCUUCAAAAAUACACCUUGGCCAGAGGCUGCAGCCAUUGCUCCACAGUUUGACAACAAUGCUGUCUUCUUGGUUUUAUACAAAAUAUUAUAUACUACAGGUACAUAUACACCAAAGUCAGUGGGGGACCUUCCUUGGAACAGAGAUUUGAAUCCUACUACAACAAUUCCAGUCUCUUCAACUGUAUUCUUAAUGUUGAUGGUCCUCUUCCCCUUGAACUACCCAACCAGGGGCUCUAGGAUAUCAUUGAUGAGUUCAUCUACCAGUUUCAGUCAUUCAGUCAGUACUGCUGUAAGACUGCCAAGAAGUCAGAGGAGGAGAUUGACUUCGUUUGUUCCAAUCCCCAAAUCUGGAAUGUUCACAGUGUCCUCAAUGUCCUUCAUUGUCUGGUAGACAAAUCCAACAUCAACUGACAGUUGGAGGUAUACACAAGCAGAGGUGACCCUGAGAGUGUGGCUGGGGGGAUGCUUGGUUACUUCAGCCUGGUGGGGCUUCUCCGCCUGCACUCCCUGUUAGGAGAUUACUACCAGGCCAUCAAGGUGCUGGAGAACAUCGAGCUGAACCAGAAGAUCAUGUAUUCCUGUGUGUUAGAGUGCCAGGUCACCACAUACUAUUAUGUUGGGUUUGCAUAUUUGAUGAUGCAUUGCUACCAGGAUGCCAUCCAGGUCUUUGCCAAUAUCCUCCUCUACAUCCAGAGGACCAAGAGCAUGUUCCAGAGGACCACAAAUAAGUAUGAGAUGAUUAACAAGCAGAAUGAUCAGAUGCAUGCACUGCUGGCCAUUGCCCUUAUGAUGUACCCCAUGCAUAUCGAUGAGGGCAUUCACCUCCAGCUGCAGGAGAAAUAUGGGGACAAGUUGCUGUGCAUGCAGAAAGGUGACCCACAAGUCUAUGAAGAACUUUUCAGUUACUCCUGCCCCAAGUUCCUGUCCCCUGUAGUGCCCAACUAUGAUAAUGUGCACCCCAACUACCACAAAGAGCCCUUCCUACAGCAGCUGAAGGUGUUUUCCAGUGAAGUACAGCAGCAGGCCCAGCUUUCAACCAUCUACAACUUCCUCAGUCUCUACACCACCAUGCCUGUGGCCAAGCUUGCUGGCUUCCUGGACCUUACAGAGCAGGAGUUCCAGAUCCAGCUUUUGGUUUUCAAACACAAGAUGCAGAAUCUGGUGUGGACUAGCAGCAUCUCAGCCCUGGAUGGUGAAUUUUAGUUGGCCUCAGCGGUUGACUUCUACAUCGUUAAGGACAUGAUCCACAUCAUAGACACCAAGGUCGCCAAGCACUAUGGGGAUAUCUUCAUCCAUCAGAUCCACAAAUUUGGGGAGUUUAAUGAAAUCCUGAAGUAGAUGGGACAGAGACCCUGA
Mandrillus leucophaeus (drill) is the source of this 1659-nucleotide RNA transcript. It is a transcript of the gene named eukaryotic translation initiation factor 3 subunit L pseudogene, with no coding region annotated. Lineage: Eukaryota; Metazoa; Chordata; Mammalia; Primates; Cercopithecidae. The transcript has a single exon. The record is from RefSeq and is a predicted model, not a curated record.